CACGUAGGGUGCAAGCGUUGUCCGGAAUUAUUGGGCGUAAAGAGCUCGUAGGCGGUGUGUCGCGUCUGCUGUGAAAACUCAGGGCUCAACUCUGAGCUUGCAGUGGGUACGGGCACACUAGAGUGCUGUAGGGGAGACUGGAAUUCCUGGUGUAGCGGUGAAAUGCGCAGAUAUCAGGAGGAACACCGGUGGCGAAGGCGGGUCUCUGGGCAGUUACUGACGCUGGAGGAGCGAAAGCAUGGGGAGCGAACAGG
Molecule: ribosomal RNA, 254 nt
Filed under: uncultured bacterium
Lineage: Bacteria
Description: partial 16S ribosomal RNA
Rfam family: Bacterial small subunit ribosomal RNA
Source: RNAcentral